Molecule: ribosomal RNA, 274 nt
Filed under: uncultured bacterium
Lineage: Bacteria
Description: partial 16S ribosomal RNA
Rfam family: Bacterial small subunit ribosomal RNA
Source: RNAcentral
AUACGGAGGGUGCAAGCGUUAUUCGGAAUCACUGGGCGUAAAGGACGCGUAGGCGGGUUGGCAAGUCAGAUGUGAAAUCCUACAGCUUAACCGUAGAACUGCAUUUGAAACUGCUAACCUAGAGUAUGGGAGGGGGAGAUGGAAUUAGUGGUGUAGGGGUAAAAUCCGUAGAUAUCACUAGGAAUACCGAAAGCGAAGGCGAUCUCCUGGAACAUAACUGACGCUAAGGCGUGAAAGCGUGGGGAGCAAACAGGAUUAGAUACCCUAGUAGUCC